UGAUCUUCAAUAACAACAUAAAUAAUGG
RNAcentral lists this non-coding RNA (28 nucleotides) under Mus musculus (house mouse). Lineage: Eukaryota; Metazoa; Chordata; Mammalia; Rodentia; Muridae. The record is from RNAcentral.